UACGAAGGGGGCUAGCGUUGCUCGGAAUUACUGGGCGUAAAGCGCACGUAGGCGGCUUUCUAAGUCGGAGGUGAAAUCCUGGAGCUCAACUCCAGAACUGCCUUCGAUACUGGAGAGCUCGAGUCCGGGAGAGGUGAGUGGAACUGCGAGUGUAGAGGUGAAAUUCGUAGAUAUCGGGAGGAACACCAGAGGCGAAGGCGGCCACCUGGACAGAGAUUGACGCUGAGACGCGAAAGCGUGGGGAGCAAACAGG
RNAcentral lists this ribosomal RNA (253 nucleotides) under uncultured bacterium. Its description in RNAcentral is "partial 16S ribosomal RNA". It matches the Rfam family "Bacterial small subunit ribosomal RNA", at positions 524 to 776 of the family's 1533-position model. The record is from RNAcentral.